AACCAGCUCUUCAAGUGGUCGGGAUGAUUAUUGGGCUUAAAGUGUCCGUAGCCGGUUUAGUAAGUUCCUGGUAAAAUCAGGUAGCUUAACUAUCUGUAUGCUAGGAAUACUACUAUACUAGAGGGCGGGAGGGGUCUGAGGUACUACAGGGGCAGGGGUGAAAUCUUAUAAUCCUUGUAGGACCACCAGUGGCGAAGGCGUCAGACUGGAACGUGCCUGACGGUGAGGGACGAAAGCCAGGGGAGCGAACCGGAUUAGAUACCCGGGUAGUCCUGGCUGUAAACGAUGCAUACUAGGUGAUGGCCCGGCCAUGAGCCGUGUCAGUGCCGUAGGGAAACCGUUAAGUGUGCCGCCUGGGAAGUACGGUCGCAAGGCUAAAACUUAAAGGAAUUGGCGGGGAGCACCACAAGGGGUGAAGCCUGCGGUUC
This 428-nucleotide ribosomal RNA is filed under the name uncultured archaeon. RNAcentral describes it as "bacterial SSU rRNA". It matches the Rfam family "Archaeal small subunit ribosomal RNA", at positions 474 to 903 of the family's 1478-position model. The record is from RNAcentral.